Molecule: long non-coding RNA, 326 nt
Organism: Vicia villosa (hairy vetch)
Lineage: Eukaryota; Viridiplantae; Streptophyta; Magnoliopsida; Fabales; Fabaceae
Exons: 2
Source: RefSeq, a predicted model, not a curated record
CCAAAACAAAAUAAAAAACUAUAUUUAUUAGAUGUAAAAGAGAACAAAUAUGGCUCAAGUAAUCAUGUUUGUAUAUGUUUUGAUCGUUUUUCUUUCUCUAUUUCUUGUUGAAGUCGGUAGAGUUGGAAGUGAAAAAACAACCAUUCCUUGUGAUAGUGAUCAUGAUUGUGAUGAGGUUUUUAAUUGUAUGCAUAUGUGCAUUGAUGGAUUUUGUGACUACGUGGUUUUGAAUCUAUAAGUUUGAGAUACUAGUUUGUUGUAGCAAUUUCUCAAACUUUUAUAUAGAUUAUUAAUUAAUAAAAAAUUUGGAGUGAUAUGUUUCAUUA